GACUUACCGGGUGUACAAAUUCUUUUCAUUUUAUCCCUAAUUUUUGCCCGAACCUUUUCUUUCUGUUUUUUUUUUUUGGUUCGACGGGAUGCCCCUUUUUUGCCUGGACUCUUUUUUUCUUUUUGUCCAGCGGGUCAAUUUAUGCGAAGUAUUUUUUGACUACAUCUGAGUUAACAGGAGACGGAAAGUCUUCACCAUCCAUAGUUGUAAGCAUCAAGGCU
Molecule: long non-coding RNA, 221 nt
Filed under: Lathyrus oleraceus (garden pea)
Lineage: Eukaryota; Viridiplantae; Streptophyta; Magnoliopsida; Fabales; Fabaceae
Description: Pisum sativum (pea) long non-coding RNA (PSAT_LNC041103)
Source: RNAcentral